GUGGAUUAGAUACCCUGGUAGUCCACGCUGUAAACGAUGAAUACUAGGUGUUGGGCCGCAAGGUUCAGUGCCGCAGCUAACGCAUUAAGUAUUCCACCUGGGGAGUACGAUCGCAAGGUUGAAACUCAAAGGAAUUGACGGGGGCCCGCACAAGCAGUGGAGCAUGUGGUUUAAUUCGAUGCAACGCGAAGAACCUUACCUAGGCUUGAAAGGCAAGUGACAGGCUGUGAAAGCAGCCCUCCCUUCGGGGCACUUGUACAGGUGCUGCAUGGCCGUCGUCAACU
Molecule: ribosomal RNA, 284 nt
Filed under: uncultured bacterium
Lineage: Bacteria
Description: partial 16S ribosomal RNA
Rfam family: Bacterial small subunit ribosomal RNA
Source: RNAcentral